GAUGAACGCUGGCGGCGUGCCUAAUACAUGCAAGUCGAGCGAACAGACGAUGAGCUUGCUCCUCUGACGUUAGCGGCGGACGGGUGAGUAACACGUGGAUAACCUACCUAUAAGACUUGGAUAACUUCGUGAAACCGGUGCUAAUACCGGAUCAUAUAUUGAACCGCAUGGUUCAAUAGUGAAAGACGGUUUUGCUGUCACUUAUAGAUGGAUCCGCGCCGCAUUAGCUACUUGGUAAGGUAACGGCUUACCAAGGCACCGAUGCGUAUCCGACCGGAUAGAGGAAUCGGCAAACCGGAAAGUGGGAAAGGGCCAAGAAUCAAAGGGGAGGCAGAAGGAGGGAAUCUUCAGAAAGGGGGGAAAGCUUGACGAAGCAAAGCGGGUUGAGGGAGGAAGGUCUUCGGUUCGUAAAACUCUGUGAUGAGGAAAAAAAAAAGGUGGAAGUAACCAUGCACGUCUUAAGGGUACCUAAGAAGAAAGCCACGGCAAACUAGGG
RNAcentral lists this ribosomal RNA (496 nucleotides) under uncultured bacterium. Its description in RNAcentral is "partial 16S ribosomal RNA". It matches the Rfam family "Bacterial small subunit ribosomal RNA", at positions 28 to 506 of the family's 1533-position model. The record is from RNAcentral.